RNAcentral lists this ribosomal RNA (371 nucleotides) under uncultured bacterium. Its description in RNAcentral is "bacterial SSU rRNA". It matches the Rfam family "Bacterial small subunit ribosomal RNA", at positions 527 to 896 of the family's 1533-position model. The record is from RNAcentral.
GUAGGGUGCGAGCGUUGCCCGGAUUUACUGGGCGUAAAGGGCGCGCAGGCGGCUACGCACGUCCGUUGUGAAAUCGCUCGGCUCAACUGGGCGGGGUCAGCGGAUACGGCGUAGCUGGAGCAAGCUAGGGGGCAAUGGAAUUCCCGGUGUAGUGGUGGAAUGCGUAGAUAUCGGGAGGAACACCAGUGGCGAAGGCGGUUGCCUGGAGCUUUGCUGACGCUGAGGCGCGAAAGCGUGGGGAGCGAUCCGGAUUAGAUACCCGGGUAGUCCACGCCGUAAACGAUGUCGACUAGGUGUCGGGGGUAUCGACCCCCUCGGCGCCGCAGCUAACGCAUUAAGUCGACCGCCUGGGGACUACGGCCGCAAGGCUA